RNAcentral lists this ribosomal RNA (506 nucleotides) under uncultured bacterium. RNAcentral describes it as "partial 16S ribosomal RNA". It matches the Rfam family "Bacterial small subunit ribosomal RNA", at positions 29 to 523 of the family's 1533-position model. The record is from RNAcentral.
AUUGAACGCUGGCGGCAGGCCUAACACAUGCAAGUCGAACGGCAGCACAGAAGAGCUUGCUCUUUGGGUGGCGAGUGGCGGACGGGUGAGUAAUGUCUGGGAAACUGCCCGAUGGAGGGGGAUAACUACUGGAAACGGUAGCUAAUACCGCAUAACGUCGCAAGACCAAAGUGGGGGACCUUCGGGCCUCACACCAUCGGAUGUGCCCAGAUGGGAUUAGCUAGUAGGUGGGGUAAUGGCUCACCUAGGCGACGAUCCCUAGCUGGUCUGAGGGGAUGACCAGCCACACUGGAACUGAGCAACGGUCAAGACUCCUACGGGAGGCAGCAGUGGGGAAUAUUGCACAAGGGGCGCAAGCCUGAUGCAGCCAUGCCGCGUGUAUGAAGAAGGCCUUCGGGUUGUAAAGUACUUUCAGCGGGGAGGAAGGCGGUGAGGUUAAUAACCUUGCCGAUUGACGUUACCCGCAGAAGAAGCACCGGCUAACUCCGUGCCAGCCGCCGCCGUAA